Molecule: ribosomal RNA, 599 nt
Filed under: uncultured bacterium
Lineage: Bacteria
Description: bacterial SSU rRNA
Rfam family: Bacterial small subunit ribosomal RNA
Source: RNAcentral
CCUACGGGAGGCAGCAGUGAGGAAUAUUGGACAAUGGGCGCAAGCCUGAUCCAGCCAUGCCGCGUGCAGGAAGACGGUCCUAUGGAUUGUAAACUGCUUUUGUACAGGAAGAAACACUCCCUCGUGAGGGAGCUUGACGGUACUGUAAGAAUAAGGAUCGGCUAACUCCGUGCCAGCAGCCGCGGUAAUACGGAGGAUCCAAGCGUUAUCCGGAAUCAUUGGGUUUAAAGGGUCCGUAGGCGGUUUAAUAAGUCAGUGGUGAAAUCUGGUCGCUCAACGAUCAAACGGCCAUUGAUACUGUUAGACUUGAAUUAUUAGGAAGUAACUAGAAUAUGUAGUGUAGCGGUGAAAUGCUUAGAUAUUACAUGGAAUACCAAUUGCGAAGGCAGGUUACUACUAAUGGAUUGACGCUGAUGGACGAAAGCGUGGGGAGCGAACAGGAUUAGAUACCCUGGUAGUCCACGCCGUAAACGAUGGAUACUAGCUGUUCGGAGCAAUCUGAGUGGCUAAGCGAAAGUGAUAAGUAUCCCACCUGGGGAGUACGUUGCAAGAUGAAACUUAAGGAAUUGACGNNGAGAGNGCGAGAGAGAGAGGAGNGG